GCGGCAGCCUGACUGGAAGCGGGCGCGGCGUGCGGCGUCGCAGGAAUUGCUGGUCCUGAAGCGCCCUGCGGGCGUUGACCCGGUUUUCCCCUGGCUCCCCUUAUAAUAAUAGGAAGAGCCCCGCGCCACCAAUGUGGAGCCGCCCCACACUGAGGCCGCCUAGGAGAUUUUUGGCGUCGCAAUGGCCUGCAGGGUCAGCGUUAGCGUCCCUCCCUCCUUUCUUCUACCUGUACCUUCUCCGAUGCUAGCUAAAGGCAGUCAUUACUCUAUAGGAAAGGUGGACACAGAGCACCGAGCUGAUCUCCCUGUGCUAUGCGGCUGCUUCCCACUAGCUAUCGAUUUUACAGUUGGUAGUGUAUAUAUGUCACUGCCACUCUCUCACUACGAGUUCUCUUAGUUAUGUACCUAGGAGUGGAAUCGCUGGGUCAUAUGGUAUCUCCACAACUAGAGAAAGCCCGCAUGCAGCAACGGAGACUCAA
Molecule: long non-coding RNA, 479 nt
Organism: Balaenoptera ricei (Rice's whale)
Lineage: Eukaryota; Metazoa; Chordata; Mammalia; Artiodactyla; Balaenopteridae
Exons: 3
Source: RefSeq, a predicted model, not a curated record